RNAcentral lists this small RNA (88 nucleotides) under Vagococcus lutrae. Its description in RNAcentral is "SAM-III sequence". It matches the Rfam family "SAM-III riboswitch aptamer (SMK box)". RNAcentral also lists the same sequence under 1 other name. The record is from RNAcentral. Lineage: Bacteria; Bacillati; Bacillota; Bacilli; Lactobacillales; Enterococcaceae.
GAACGUUGCAAGAUUCCCGAUAGGAUUUAAAGAUGUGUAUCUUUGAAGAUUCCUUGUAACCGACUAUUAUUCAGGGGGAAUAUAAAUG